ACGGGAGGCAGCAGUGAGGAAUAUUGGUCAAUGGGCGGAAGCCUGAACCAGCCAAGUCGCGUGAGGGAAGACGGCCCUAUGGGUUGUAAACCUCUUUUUUGCGGGAAUAAAGUGCUUCAUGCGUGAGGUUUUGUAUGUACCGCAAGAAUAAGGAUCGGCUAACUCCGUGCCAGCAGCCGCGGUAAUACGGAGGAUCCGAGCGUUAUCCGGAUUUAUUGGGUUUAAAGGGUGCGCAGGCGGCUUUUUAAGUCAGUGGUUAAAUCGUGACGCUCAACGUCAUCACGCCAUUGAUACUGGAGAGCUUGAUUGCGGUCGAGGUUUGCGGAAUUCGUUGUGUAGCGGUGAAAUGCAUAGAUAUGACGAAGAACACCGAUUGCGUAGGCAGCAGACCAGGCCGUAAAUGACGCUCAUGCACGAAAGUGCGGGGAUCGAACAGGAUUAGAUACCCUGGUA
RNAcentral lists this ribosomal RNA (453 nucleotides) under uncultured Parabacteroides sp. RNAcentral describes it as "partial 16S ribosomal RNA". It matches the Rfam family "Bacterial small subunit ribosomal RNA", at positions 341 to 792 of the family's 1533-position model. The record is from RNAcentral. Lineage: Bacteria; Pseudomonadati; Bacteroidota; Bacteroidia; Bacteroidales; Tannerellaceae.